GCCAAUCCAAGCCGCAAGCGAAGUGUAGGGUAUUGUUUGCUUUGGUCGCCGCACGUGGUUUUGAAUUGAGUGUUCAUGUUGUGUGGUGUCCUGUAUUUCACACGUUUCAUUCACACAAUUUUCUAUUUGCGUAACUACGUGCAACAUCCACAUUUUGGUGAAGUGGCCAGGCGUGAAUAUGCUGGACGUUUAUCCCGUCGACAGCCUGCAAGAUAUCGAAUUAGGUUUAAGUAUUUCGUAUGUCCCGGCCGUCCCGGCAAACGUGGACAUCGCUAAGGGGAAGACAUUCCUCAUACGGUGCAGCAAGAAUGCAGAGCCCUCUGAAGCCUUCUUCGUUGCUGCGGGCCUCAGGGUGCACACUGUACACAUUGUGCAGAGCACAACCGGAAAAUAGAGGAGCUUGAGCAUGCAAAUGCCCGCCUGACAAAGAAGCUUCGCAAAGCCAAAGAGAAGUGUGUCAUGACCAACAUGGUGGAUCAAAUGGAAAAUCUAAUCCAGACUGCCUCCAGCCAGAACGCUGCUGCUGUUACAGCAGCUCCAAUGCUGGACAUCGGCUUAGGUGUUUGUGUGGACGCUGGUGUUCUGCACAGAAUAGAGAGAAGUAGCAAAGGGGAUCGGACAAGGUACGACUGCAUAAGCAUAGCUAUCUCUCUUUAAUUUGCAGGCUGGCCCGUGCCCUCAUUUGGGCAGUGUUUUCUCCUCAGGAGAUGAUUGGGCGAACUUCAUAUGGGAUACCAUGCAACGCCCACUAAGGUGUUGCGCUGAAACCUGCAGUGGAUGAGACACGGCAUGAAGCAGUUCUGGGUAAGGACCCCUUUCUGUCUUCAUUACUGCAGGUCCAUUGGCUUUUGAUUUGGCCAAACUCUGGCUUUGUCUACAUGAAGUAGCUGGUUACUGCUUAAUCAGUUAAUUGUACUCCUGCAGU
Long non-coding RNA from Ornithodoros turicata, 925 nucleotides. RefSeq lists it as uncharacterized. The record is from RefSeq and is a predicted model, not a curated record. The transcript has 4 exons. Lineage: Eukaryota; Metazoa; Arthropoda; Arachnida; Ixodida; Argasidae.